GACGAACGCUAGCGGCGUGCCUAAUACAUGCAAGUAGAACGCUGAAGAGAGGAGCUUGCUCUUCUUGGAUGAGUUGCGAACGGGUGAGUAACGCGUAGGUAACCUGCCUUGUAGCGGGGGAUAACUAUUGGAAACGAUAGCUAAUACCGCAUAACAAUGGAUGACACAUGUCAUUUAUUUGAAAGGGGCAAUUGCUCCACUACAAGAUGGACCUGCGUUGUAUUAGCUAGUAGGUGAGGUAAUGGCUCACCUAGGCGACGAUACAUAGCCGACCUGAGAGGGUGAUCGGCCACACUGGGACUGAGACACGGCCCAGACUCCUACGGGAGGCAGCAGUAGGGAAUCUUCGGCAAUGGGGGCAACCCUGACCGAGCAACGCCGCGUGAGGGAAGAAGGUUUUCGGAUCGUAAAGCUCUGUUGUAAGUCAAGAACGGGUGUGAGAGUGGAAAGUUCACACUGUGACGGUAGCUUACCAGAAAGGGACGGCUAACUACGUG
RNAcentral lists this ribosomal RNA (497 nucleotides) under uncultured bacterium. RNAcentral's name for it is "partial 16S ribosomal RNA". It matches the Rfam family "Bacterial small subunit ribosomal RNA", at positions 28 to 507 of the family's 1533-position model. The record is from RNAcentral.